Molecule: ribosomal RNA, 54 nt
Filed under: Polylepis incarum
Lineage: Eukaryota; Viridiplantae; Streptophyta; Magnoliopsida; Rosales; Rosaceae
Also listed under: 1 other name
Description: partial 18S ribosomal RNA
Source: RNAcentral
AGGAAGGAGAGUCGUAACAAGGUUUCCGUAGGUGAACCUACGAAAUGAUCAUUG